UACAGAGGUCUCAAGCGUUGUUCGGAUUCAUUGGGCGUAAAGGGCGCGUAGGCGGAUAUCUAAGUUGGGGGUGAAAUCCCGGGGCUCAACCUCGGAAUUGCCUUCAAAACUGGAUAUCUUGAGUUCGGGAGAGGUGAGUGGAACUCCGAGUGUAGAGGUGAAAUUCGUAGAUAUUCGGAAGAACACCAGUGGCGAAGGCGACUCACUGGCCCGAUACUGACGCUGAGGCGCGAAAGCGUGGGGAGCAAACAGG
This 253-nucleotide ribosomal RNA is filed under the name uncultured bacterium. RNAcentral describes it as "partial 16S ribosomal RNA". It matches the Rfam family "Bacterial small subunit ribosomal RNA", at positions 524 to 776 of the family's 1533-position model. The record is from RNAcentral.